RNAcentral lists this ribosomal RNA (1346 nucleotides) under uncultured bacterium. RNAcentral describes it as "bacterial SSU rRNA". It matches the Rfam family "Bacterial small subunit ribosomal RNA", at positions 28 to 1381 of the family's 1533-position model. The record is from RNAcentral.
GACGAACGCUUGCGGCGUGCUUAACACAUGCAAGUCGAACGGAAAGGCCCUGCUUUUGUGGGGUGCUCGAGUGGCGAACGGGUGAGUAACACGUGAGUAACCUGCCCUUGACUUUGGGAUAACUUCAGGAAACUGGGGCUAAUACCGGAUAGGAGCUCCUGCUGCAUGGUGGGGGUUGGAAAGUUUCGGCGGUUGGGGAUGGACUUGCGGCUUAUCAGCUUGUUGGUGGGGUAGUGGCUUACCAAGGCUUUGACGGGUAGCCGGCCUGAGAGGGUGACCGGCCACAUUGGGACUGAGAUACGGCCCAGACUCCUACGGGAGGCAGCAGUGGGGAAUAUUGCACAAUGGGCGGAAGCCUGAUGCAGCAACGCCGCGUGCGGGAUGACGGCCUUCGGGUUGUAAACCGCUUUCGCCCGUGACGAAGCGUGAGUGACGGUAAUGGGUAAAGAAGCACCGGCUAACUACGUGCCAGCAGCCGCGGUGAUACGUAGGGUGCGAGCGUUGUCCGGAUUUAUUGGGCGUAAAGGGCUCGUAGGUGGUUGAUCGCGUCGGAAGUGUAAUCUUGGGGCUUAACCCUGAGCGUGCUUUCGAUACGGGUUGACUUGAGGAAGGUAGGGGAGAAUGGAAUUCCUGGUGGAGCGGUGGAAUGCGCAGAUAUCAGGAGGAACACCAGUGGCGAAGGCGGUUCUCUGGGCCUUUCCUGACGCUGAGGAGCGAAAGCGUGGGGAGCGAACAGGCUUAGAUACCCUGGUAGUCCACGCUGUAAACGGUGGGUACUAGGUGUGGGGUCCAUUCCACGGGUUCCGUGCCGUAGCUAACGCUUUAAGUACCCCGCCUGGGGAGUACGGCCGCAAGGCUAAAACUCAAAGGAAUUGACGGGGCCCCGCACAAGCGGCGGAGCAUGCGGAUUAAUUCGAUGCAACGCGUAGAACCUUACCUGGGUUUGACAUGGGUCGGGAGCGCUCGGAGAUGGGUGUGCCUCUUUUGGGGUCGGUUCACAGGUGGUGCAUGGCUGUCGUCAGCUCGUGUCGUGAGAUGUUGGGUUAAGUCCCGCAACGAGCGCAACCCUUGUUCACUGUUGCCAGCACGUUAUGGUGGGGACUCAGUGGAGACCGCCGGGGUCAACUCGGAGGAAGGUGGGGAUGACGUCAAGUCAUCAUGCCCCUUAUGUCCAGGGCUUCACGCAUGCUACAAUGGCUGGUACAGAGAGUGGCGAGCCUGUGAGGGUGAGCGAAUCUCGGAAAGCCGGUCUCAGUUCGGAUUGGGGUCUGCAACUCGACCUCAUGAAGUCGGAGUCGCUAGUAAUCGCAGAUCAGCAACGCUGCGGUGAAUACGUUCCCGGGGCU